UUAGCCAAAAGAAAUGGUCAAUUUUCCAUUUAUUUACCAUUUCUCAUCCAUUUUUCUCUGAUUUUCCAUUUAUUGACCAUUUAUUUUCAUUUUUUCUGGAGUCAACUUUCUCAAACCAUUUAUUGAAACCAUUUAUUAGCCAUUCAUACAGAAAAAUGUUUUUAAAUGGCCAUUUCUUUCCAUUGAUUCAUCAUUUAUUUAAAAAAUGGCAUUGAAACUGAAUUGCCUUUGCUAAGUUCACCAUUUUCCUUCCAUUUUUUUUCUAGACCAUUUUUCCCGUUGAAAUGGUUAUUUGAAGAAGCUUGAUCUACUGUUUAGUAUGUGUUGUAUACGUACUGACAGCUAUACAUAGAAUUGAUACCCAAACCAUCAAUUCCUUGUAAUUACAUGUAUUUCCUUGAUCAUGCAAUGAAAGAAAUUAAAGGAACAUACAACAAUAAAACAACUUAUAAAUUCAGAAGACAAAAAACUUCAGCAUGUUUAUUGUGCAUAAAUAUAUUACAUACAUAUAUAUUAAAUACAAUUAAAGCAAUAUUUAUCAAUUGCCAGUUGAGUAUGCAUUCAAUUAAUAACGUCGACAUAUUUUGUGUGGUGGAGUCGUACAUCAUGAUACUGGCAGUAUGCUUCCAGAAUCUGAGUGCAAGAUGUAAGCCAUUCAAAGGUCAUUAUGACUGGUGUUGGUCAUUUAAGUUUCCUCUCUGGUUCAGUCAUCCCGGCAGGGGGUAGCGUUAUCUCUGAAACUUUCCACUGAAGCCACGUCUGUUACUUGCGUGGCAGCACUUGUACAGUGACCAAGGAACAAUAAUGGCCGAUUUAUUUCAAAGAGGAGAUCCAAUUUUUCUGGUGUUUUUGGUGCAGACACAGGCAGACCAAGGCAGAGAAUUGUGUUCUUAGUAGAGGAUAUAAUGAUUCCGUUUCUUUUCUGACAUCCACUCUGAUAUGACGAUGGCAUGGUGGACAUAUAAGCCUACAGGAUUAUCUGGAGCAGGCUAAAGUGUUCUCAUCUGGCAAGUACAAGCAUGCAGGGACAACGAAAAUGAAUGUGGAGAACUUGAACUCAAAGUCCCAAACUAAACUCAUUCAAAACAAAACUGGAAAUAAGUGUUUUCAUAGGAGAAAGGGCAACAGCUCUUUUUUAGUGAGCAAGUGAUUAAAUGCACAGACGAUUUAAUGUAUGUAUUGAGCAUGUUUCUGAACAUUUCCUGGGAGGAUCCAACUUUUUAUAAAGAAUCAUUUCUAUAUUGUGUAAUUUAAUGUUUUAAAAUGGAUAUUAAAUGCAUUUGUUAAAACACCAUUUCUUUUCAUUUUUUUCUCUCAUGUUUAAAUGGCUAGGAAAUGGUUAAUUUGCAUAUUAACUGUCCCAGAAAAAUGGUGUUUCAAUGGGUUUUAAA
This is a long non-coding RNA of Magallana angulata, 1391 nucleotides long. RefSeq lists it as uncharacterized. NCBI's taxonomy places the organism in Eukaryota, Metazoa, Mollusca, Bivalvia, Ostreida, Ostreidae. The record is from RefSeq and is a predicted model, not a curated record. The transcript has 2 exons.